RNAcentral lists this long non-coding RNA (1120 nucleotides) under Homo sapiens (human). RNAcentral describes it as "HSALNT0290816". Lineage: Eukaryota; Metazoa; Chordata; Mammalia; Primates; Hominidae. The record is from RNAcentral.
GCGGGGGAGUUGCCCCAGCUCUUACUGUGACGCCAUACACUGCCAUUUCCCUUCUGGACAUGACCCUCUGUCUCCCACAGCCUCCUAUGGGUACAUCCGAGAGUCUCCCAAGAGGCUGCAGAACGUCAGAACAUCUCUGGAGCACUAUUCAGUGAGCAACAGGAGAGUUAAAGAUUUGUCCACCAGUGAGAACACGUGUGCAUUACAGUGGAGGAGCUUCUGAACGCCUUGCUUUACUCAGGGAUUCCAGAGUCCCAGCAGGGGCCGGAGGAAGAAGAACAGACUCCUAGAGAGGAAGAAACUUUGACCUCAAAAAUGAAGAAACAGAGGACCAAAAGGAAGCUCUUGACCAAGAUUCUUAGGCAGAUGGAGACAGGGUUGGGUUUAGCAUUGGUCACACAGCAGAUGGAGACAGGGCUGGGUCUAGUGUUGGUCACACAGCAGAUAGUCAGGUUGCCUGACCCGAAUUCCUGAGUUCUUCCCCCACACCAGCAACCUGGAACUUCUAGAAAAAGCCCAUGAACACGCAAAUGAACACAACAGUGAGAAACCUCUCUUGGCAAAACAUUAUAAGCUGGCUGAGACCUAGGAUUGACUAGGAUGUUAGGAAAAGGAUAGUCUCAUAUAUCCUACCGGUAGGAAGUUGGUUCAGCCACCAUGGAGAGCGACUUGCAGUAUCUGUAGUAUCUGUUAAAUUUUAAAAUGCACACACCCCGCCAGGAGCAGUGGUUCAGGCCUGUAAUCCCAGCACUUUGGGAGGCCAAGGCAGGCAGAUCACCUGAGGUCAGGAGUUUGAGACCAGCCUGGCCAACAUGGUGAAACCCCGUCUCUACUAAAAAUAUAAAAAUUAGCUGGGUGUGGUGGCACACACGCCUGUAGUUCCAGCUACUCGGGAGGCUGAGGCAGCAGAAUCACUUGAAUCCAGGAGGCGGAGGUUGCAGUGAGCCGAAAUCGCACCACUGCACUCCAGCCUGGGCAACAGAGCAAGACUCUGUCUCAAAAUAAAUAAAUAAAAUAAUAAAAUAAAAUGCACACACCCUAUGGCCCAGCAGACUCAUGUUUCCUUAUUAUCUCCCUCAGAAAAACAAACACUUAAGUGCACAUGGGGCCAAUUACAAAA